This is a long non-coding RNA of Xenia sp. Carnegie-2017, 2958 nucleotides long. RefSeq lists it as uncharacterized. Lineage: Eukaryota; Metazoa; Cnidaria; Anthozoa; Malacalcyonacea; Xeniidae. The transcript is spliced from 11 exons. The record is from RefSeq and is a predicted model, not a curated record.
CGGAUGCUGAAUUAGCGACAGAAAAGGAAACAUUUCUUGACUCCGUGCCUUCAGUGCUUGAAGAAAAGGACUUUACCAACUUUACUAUCAUUAUGACUGAGCCCUCCCCCCGCCUAUUCGAUUACCACCACAGUCGUUCCCAGGCUACCAUUGCUCUAAUUAGAAACACAAAUUUGGUUUGUUGGAUUUGAUCGAGAAUUGUGAAAAAAUGCCUGUUUCUUCCAAUAUCAGCAAGAAUCUUAUAAUUGAAGAAGAAGAUCUUCCUUACAAAGAGGAGAUUCUGAGAAAUCCAUAUUCUGUAAAAUGUUGGUCACGAUAUCUUUAGCACAAGAAGUCCGCACCAAAAUCUGUCUUGAAUCUUGUUUAUGAAUGAGCUUUGAAAGAGCUUGCAGGAAGCUACAAACUUUGAUAUAAUUACUUGAAAGAGUGUAGAAAGCAAGUAUGUGGAAAACCAAUCACAGAAACUUGUUUUGAAGAUGUAAACAACACCUUUGAACGUGCUCUUGUGUUCGUGUGCAAGAUCAGAAAUAACAAUGCAUUACGCAAAAACUUUUACUCAAAGAAAGAAGCUGAACUUUUAGACAAGUAGAUAUUAGAUAACCAUAUUUUUUCCAUUUGAGGCAUAAACAACUUUCUUCGUUUCAUGCAGAUGCCAAGUAUAUGGUUAGAUUAUUGCCAGUUUUUAAUGGACCAACCUCUUAUCACUCUUAUAAAAAGAACAUUUGAUCGUGCUUUGAGGGCAUUGCCAAUAAACUAAACAUUAUAGAAUAUGACCCCUUUACUUGAAGUUUGUUCGUUCUUAUCCGAUUCCUGAGACGGCCGUCGGUGUCUACAGAAGAUAUCUAAAGUUACAAUCCAACAACACUGAAGAUUAUUUAGACUAUCUCUAAAGUGUUGGAAGGUUGGACGAGGCAGCUACAAGACUGGCAACUAUUGUCAAUCAGGAUAAGUUUGUGUCAAAAGAGGGAAAAUCAAAUCAUCAGUUGUGGCACGAACUAUGUCAGCUAAUCUCCAAAAAUCCCAACAAGUAGCUUUAAUCAAAAAAGUAUUUCAUACUGAUAUACGUAUAAUAAACUUUGCUGAUAAUAAUCUCCUCAAAUGUUUGGGUUAAAAGUCUAAAAGUUGCUGAUUCGUGGUGGCUUGAGACGAUUUACAGAUAGUUUGGGUCAACUAUGGACAGACGACAGCAUCCUUUGGAAGACUUGGCAUGACUUUGAGGUAACGAAGACACUUUUCGUGAGGUAAUGAAGACACUUUUCGUGAUGGUAAGACGACUUUCAUCAUGGUAACGAAGACACUUUUCGUGAGAUGCUACGCAUUAAAAGGAGCGUACAGGCCAUGUAUAAUACGCAGGUGUUGAUGAAAUGGCAUGUGCAAUUACACACUUGUUUUUUUAAGCUAUUUAUUUGAUAAUUAUACGGACAUGCAUAUAUGCGUUCACCUAAUUUUUCUCAUUUUUUCACAUGUAGGUUAUCUUCAUGUCCGCUCAAAUGCUUGCUGCAUCUCAAGCAAUGUCUGGUGAGUUAUACGACUAUGCGAGGAAAACUUAAGUGUAUUGAAUCUACUCACAUCACACUUCUUUCCCUUUUCACCACAGCCGCUAAAUAUUUUUUGUUGACAAAUGUAGAUGUACUUAUUUACUUAUACAGAUGCAGCGACCGGUGUGUCUGCGGACGACAUGGAGAAUUUGGAAAAACAAGCUCGAGCAAUGGCUGAACAAGCGAAAAAGAAUCAAGUGAAGCCGAAACGUGAUGUUCUUUUUGUCAAGUAAUUAAUGGAUCGCGGCUUAUUGCUUUAGCAAGUACUUUUGUCUCAUGGAUUAACCUAUGCUGCUUUUAAUUGACACCCCCUGGGUGAUUUAGUUAAAAUUCACUGUACUGAGUCUUAUUUGUGUUAAUUUAAUUUGUCUUAAAGGCGAAGCAACUGAUGAGGACAAUUUAGAAGCAAGAAUAGCGAAUCCUGAAGAGAUCUCAAUUGAUGAAGACGAUGAAGACGAAGAUGCAAAGAUUGAAGAAGUUCAACUUGAACAACAAAUGGUGCCUUCAAAGGUUUUUGGAAGCCUUAUAAAAGACGACUAGAUUUCGUUGAUGGAUAAUAAGUUGUACAGUCAUGGAACAUUCUUGCUUUGGUUGCGUCUUUGGAGCUUAACUUCAUCGUUAUUUGAAAAGUUUGUUUUUCGUCAUGUAUCACUUUUUGAAGGAGGAAACUUCACCACAGUCAAGACAUUCAAAUGAGUCAGAAUGCUUUUGUAUGAUUUUGCAUUUACAUAAACCCUCGACAUUCGCUUCCGUAUUGGUGGAUAUCCAAUAACAGAUAAGGUACUUUUGGACCAAUCAAGGUAUAGUGCCAGUCUACCAAAUUUUUCUCGCGCCAAGCAAUAAAUAUGUUGUGACGCAGAAUAUGAAAUUAUAUUAUUCUGUAUUACCAUUCGAGUUACAAGGUGAUGAGACCAAUUCAUUUAAAAAUGAACAGCUUUAGAGUUUAUUACAAUGAAAGCACUUCAUUUGAAUCAAUUCUGUUUACAAAUUUUGCAAGAUUAAAUCCCAAAAAUGUGAUAACAAAAGUAAGAUGUAAUGAAUACAUUUGAUUCCAAACGGCAGUUUCAAACUUAUUGUAUGUGAUUAUGUUGUUAAUUCCAUAUAACUUGUGUGAGCAAAGUUACAGAAUCUUCCUUCGUUGUGUUAAUUUCACCCAAGUUUAACACUAGCCACAUUAAAUGUUUUGUAGUCAUCACAUUCUCUUUCAUAUUUUAGACUGAUUAAUUGGCAUCUAUAUUAGGAAAGGGAGUGUUCUUAUAACUCUUAGCACAUAAAAAUUAUAAUAUAGUGCAGGUUUAGCCAACAUAAUAAUUAUUAGCUGAAUUAGGAUAUGUAAUUUUAUCUUAGCUUACUUUUCAGUAACAUAAGUUGUGUUAUUUUAUCUUACCAACUUAACAAAUAUAAAUGAAUGAAUGAAUGA